Molecule: unclassified non-coding RNA, 339 nt
Filed under: soil metagenome
Description: partial contains 5.8S ribosomal RNA, internal transcribed spacer 2, and large subunit ribosomal RNA
Rfam family: 5.8S ribosomal RNA (bases 1-120)
Source: RNAcentral
GAUGAAGAACGCAGCGAAAUGCGAUAAGUAAUGUGAAUUGCAGAAUUCCGUGAAUCAUCGAAUCUUCGAACGCACAUUGCGCCCCCUGGUAUUCCGGGGGGCAUGCCUGUCCGAGCGUCAUUGCAACCCUCAAGCGCGGCUUGUGUGUUGGGCUUCGUCCCCCCGUGGACGUGCCCGAAAGGCAGUGGCGGCGUCCCGAAUGGUGCCCGAGCGUAUGGGAACUCUCUUCCGCUCGAACCGGCCCAUUCGGCGCUGGUCGAACCCCAAUUUUUUUUUACCGGUUGACCUCGGAUCAGGUAGGGAUACCCGCUGAACUUAAGCAUAUCAAUAAGCGGAGGA